Molecule: microRNA precursor, 81 nt
Filed under: Calypte anna (Anna's hummingbird)
Lineage: Eukaryota; Metazoa; Chordata; Aves; Apodiformes; Trochilidae
Description: let-7 microRNA precursor family
Rfam family: let-7 microRNA precursor family
About the family: This family represents the microRNAs (miRNA) let-7 and mir-98. let-7 was identified from a study of developmental timing in C. elegans, and was later shown to be part of a much larger class of non-coding RNAs termed miRNAs. The extents of the hairpin precursors are not generally known and are estimated based on hairpin prediction.
Source: Rfam by way of RNAcentral
UUGGGGUGAGGUAGUAGGUUGUAUAGUUUUAGGGUUAUGCCCUGCCUGUCAUAUAACUAUACAAUCUACUGUCUUUCCUGA